ACUUUUAAAGGAAAACAGACAUCCACUGGUCUUAGGAGCCACCAUUCU
RNAcentral lists this transfer RNA (48 nucleotides) under Trapelus boehmei. Its description in RNAcentral is "partial tRNA-Leu". Lineage: Eukaryota; Metazoa; Chordata; Lepidosauria; Squamata; Agamidae. The record is from RNAcentral.